UUAUUUUGUACGAACAAAAUCGUUUUCUCUCUCUCUGCUUCUGUCUCUCUCACGCGACAUUGGAAAAAAAAAAUUGCUCGAUCAUUGAUAAUCCGAUGAGUUGACGCCGGUGAUUGUUUGUCUUUUGAUGUGUUAUCUGAGGCUUCCAACGCCGGAUUCAUCAAGGCAACAGGUGCUUCACAUCGGCGGAAGUUGGCCGAAAUCGGAAAAUAGCAAAUCGGAUUCGAAGAGUAAUCGCCGACGCCUUCCCCAAGUUAGGUAUGAAUCAAUUCUCGUCAUUAUAUCGUGAUUAGAUGUUGUAUUUGGUGGUUUAUUAGGGUUGUGAGUUAAGGAGAAACCUUAUACAUGAUUCUUCAGUUUAUAAAUUUGACAAUUAGUCGUAGAUUUGGAUUUUGCUCUAUAAUGGUAUUGGUUGGUUUGUUCUGUUUUUAUCUAUCUAAUGAUACUUACAUUGUUGACUGGAUUCAACCAAAGCUACUUACUUGAUUUGAGAAUGAAACUAUGUUUGUUAGUGGUAUUGCAGUGUUAGAGGUAAUUAGUUAGUGGUAUUGAAGUGUUAGAGGUUAAUUGAGUUUGGUCGCUUGUUUUAUACAAUUAACUAUGUUUGUUAAGUUUAUACAUUAAGAGUUGUGUCUUGCCUUAAGGGUAGUUAUCUUAAGAGACAUAAGUGAAGAGUUAUAACUCUUAUGGUUGUAUCGUUUAAGUCAAGUUCUGUUUCACGUCUAUAAAAGGAUGAUGUCUUUGUCUGCAACACUUAUUCAGAUUUUCUAAUAAACUUGUGUGUCUCGUGAGUAAGAGAAUCGUGUAUAUCCUUUGUUUGUGGAUCAGGUGCAAUUUGAGUAGAGUAUUCUGCAUUUCUUUUGUGAAGUGCAUUUUCGACUCUCAUGCUCUAUGACCAUGGAGUUCCAAUGAAGUAUCAAGGACCGAGGAAAGCAGAUUUGCUUGUCCGUUACUUAAAGAAGUUUGUUGAUCCAGAUGUUGCUUGCAUUAUGUGUUAUGUUAUAGACAUGGAACAUAGAAUGGUUCUUUUGUUUUAAUAGGACUUGAACGAAACGGAUGACCAUAUAUUGAAUGAUUGUACAUUUUGUUUCAAACAAAACUAAAUGUUCAUCUUGUUUACAAAGACACAAAGAAUACUUCUUAUUGUUUUUACAAUAUAUAAUGAAUGCUCUUGUUUAAGUUAUAAAAUGCUCUUGUUACAAUAAUAUAUAAUGAAUGCAAG
Non-coding RNA from Arabidopsis thaliana (thale cress), 1222 nucleotides. The record is from RefSeq. NCBI's taxonomy places the organism in Eukaryota, Viridiplantae, Streptophyta, Magnoliopsida, Brassicales, Brassicaceae.